AAGUAUGCAGUGCCUUUCGAAUGACAUUUAUCCAAGGUUAUGAUAACAAACAACUGUCCCUCCAGUGAUGCAUUUGUUCCGCACCUCCCAGCCCAAGGCCCUGCUCUCGCUUUUCUUUCAAAUCUCAUUUAGUCUCAGUCAUCUCGGCCAGAAAUUUCCUGCUUCAGAGCAGAAGGGUUUACGGACUCGAGAACUGAGCCAGGAGUCUGGCAUGCGUCCAUCUAGUGCUGUCUGGACUCCUCACUGCCACCUGGUGCCGACAUUGGGAACUGCUCCACUGUUCACAGGGGAGCUGGCCCAGAUGGGCAUAGCUCCUGGCACAACCAGGGCAGAGCCUGCCUCAAGGGACUGCCAGACCAUGACCUAUGGUCCUCAGCACUUUUAAUCCCAUCACAGCCACCCCAGGGUACUAGCCACCUUGGAGUUCUGGGACAAAACUGGAUUUGAUGUUCACUUCUCUCUUUCAAGAGGACUGUCCAGAGUCUCUUUCCCUUACUGAGAGCAGACAUUCUCAGAGGUUAGGCAAUUCUUCCUUCCUGACAUUCAAAUAAGAGGUCUGAUUUCAACUCCUUUCUACUGACAAAGGCUACUCACUUUCUCCUUCUAAGAAAAAGCCUCUUCCUUUCUGUCCUGCACCAAAGGUCUCAUUAUUUCCUGCUUUUACUGCCCAGGAGAACUCUGGCCCUUCACAUGCUCCUGCAGAUAAAGCCGUGUUCCUGGACUCCAGGGAAGCGGAUCCCUUGCCCUUUCUAAGAGAGCGAGGCUGCUCAUUUUACAGGCACUACUUCAAAUAAAAAGACACCAAGAAAUUAAUCUUUAGCAGAAGUGCUCAUUUUCCCACAAAUUCUAACUGAAAUUUUGUCUGCCAAUGAAAAAAUAAAACCACUAACUCUUGUUCCUUGCACAUUUUAUAUAUCUCUCCCAAACAUAUCUUUCUAGAAAUACAAACGGUUAAUUAUUCGAUUGAUGACAUUCACAUUCUAACAAACACAUCAAAAAUAGUUCCUGGACAUCUCAGUGAGUCACUAGAGCGGAUCAGAGAGGAGGAAGGAGAACCUGCCAGCCCCGCCAAGGGGUUACCUGCUGCUCAGCAGACAUAACACAAACACCGGAAGCUGAUCUUUCACACAGGCAGAGGGCACCGCACGCUAAAUGCAAGAACAAACCACGCUUCAGGACAUGAGAGCAGAGCGGUCAUAUGGGUCAAUGGCAUGGAGACACGCAAGAUGUUUGGUCUUGACUUGGGGCUAAAACAAAAGCAGGAUUUAGACAGAGGAGAGAUUGGGGAAUUCUAGCAGGAAAACAGUAGUAAAAAUGUGGAAGGCAAAAAUGUGCUAAACUUCCUGGAGACAAUAGGAAACCUGGGCUGGCUGGAAUAUGGAUUCUAUGUAGAAUACUGGGGAAUAUGGCAAGAAAACAUUAGCCUGGAACACAGUGUAGAUAGCCUGACAUGCCAAGUGACUUAAUAAUGGGAUUUUAUCCUGUAGACAAUGAGAACUCCUUGAUGGAGCCCACACUGCAUGAUGGCUCUGGGUUGGGUUAUUUGCACAUAAUGUCAUGUAUGACCCAAACCUAAUGCAGGAACUCUGAACUAAGGAGUCUUGUUCCCAUGUGCAUGUGUAGGAACUGAAUAGGAUAAGGUUUGCUGCUGCUGCUGCUGCUGCUGCUAAGUUGCUUCAGUCGUGUCUGACUCUGUGCGACCCCAGAGACAGCAGCCUACCAGGCUCCCCUGUCCCUGGGAUUCUCCAGGCAAGAACACUGGAGUGGGCUGCCAUUUCCUUCUCCAAUGCAUGAAAGUGUAAAGUGAAAGUGAAAGCUCAGUCGUGUCCGACUCUUCACGACCCCAUGGACUGCAGCCCACUAGGCUCCUUCGUCCAUGGGAUUUUCCAGGCAAGAGUACUGGAGUGGGGUGCCAUUGCCUUCUCCGAGGAUAAGGUUUAAGGACAUCUAUAUCUUUGAUGCUUUUUCUUGACUUUGAUGAUUAUUUCUCUUAGACUAAAACAAAAUUAACUUUCACAAAAUGUUUAUAUUUUUAGGAUAAACCAGAUAUAGGACUCUAUAGUAGAACCAAGGAGGUCAUUUGUCUCUAAUUAAAAUCAAACCUUAGUCUGAUCUUAAUAUAUCAUUUGUCCCCCCUGCCACUCCCACACACACACCACUAUUUCUCAGAUUUCCCUUCCAAGAAUAUUGGAAAUUUUCAAAGAACAUUAGAAAUUGUUUUAAAGAGAAAGAUAAAUACACAAAGAUAUAUCAUCACCGAAACCCUGAAC
Bos grunniens (domestic yak) is the source of this 2270-nucleotide long non-coding RNA. Lineage: Eukaryota; Metazoa; Chordata; Mammalia; Artiodactyla; Bovidae. The record is from Ensembl.